UGAACGCUGGCGGCAUGCUUUACACAUGCAAGUCGAACGGUAACAGGUUAAGCUGACGAGUGGCGAACGGGUGAGUAAUGCAUCGGAACGUGCCCGAUCGUGGGGGAUAACGCAGCGAAAGCUGCGCUAAUACCGCAUACGAUCUGAGGAUGAAAGCGGGGGACCGUAAGGCCUCGCGCGAUCGGAGCGGCCGAUGUCAGAUUAGGUAGUUGGUGGGGUAAAGGCUCACCAAGCCGACGAUCUGUAGCUGGUCUGAGAGGACGACCAGCCACACUGGGACUGAGACACGGCCCAGACUCCUACGGGAGGCAGCAGUGGGGAAUUUUGGACAAUGGGCGAAAGCCUGAUCCAGCAAUGCCGCGUGCAGGAAGAAGGCCUUCGGGUUGUAAACUGCUUUUGUACGGAGCGAAAAGGCUCUCUCUAAUACAGGGGGCUCAUGACGGUACCGUAAGAAUAAGCACCGGCUAACUACGU
This 474-nucleotide ribosomal RNA is filed under the name uncultured bacterium. RNAcentral describes it as "bacterial SSU rRNA". It matches the Rfam family "Bacterial small subunit ribosomal RNA", at positions 30 to 506 of the family's 1533-position model. The record is from RNAcentral.